Long non-coding RNA from Neogale vison (American mink), 2253 nucleotides. RefSeq lists it as uncharacterized. The record is from RefSeq and is a predicted model, not a curated record. The transcript has 6 exons. NCBI's taxonomy places the organism in Eukaryota, Metazoa, Chordata, Mammalia, Carnivora, Mustelidae.
GUGUGAGUGUGAGAGUGAGAACAGCCCCGCAGGUCCCGAGGCGCUGGCUGGGGACUCUGCCGCGGAAAGUUCCCAGUCCCCAGCCGCAGGUAAUGGAGAGGGAAUAGAGAGGUUCCCUGUUUGCAUCAGCAAAUGCGAAAACAUAAUAGCAACAGCAGCGGUGUCCUCUCUCCGGAGCGGGGUUUCCAAUGACGCUAACAUUCUUUUUCCUUUAAGUCUUUUUCCUAUGCCACAAUAUAGAAUGGUCCCCUGCGGCUUCCUGGUAAUGAAUGACCCGAGAGUAACACCGCCACAACCUGCAAGAAAAGGAGAUCCCUUUACCCAAUCCCGAGAUCUGCAGGAUUGAAAUGAAAUAUUUUGAGCUCUUCCAACUGACUCAUCAGAAUUCUGGAGCAUUUUUAAAAUGACGUGUGUUUGCUUCUUAUUUGACAAUGAUACAGUCAGCAUAAUGCUAGCAUUUGUCUGAAAAUGAAAGGAAACAACUUUAAAAUAAUUUUAAUACGGAAAGAAAUAAUCAAAUGAAGAUGAUUAUGGAAUCUUUUUUACCUACUGACCACAACAACUAGAUCCAGCAACAAUGGAGAAGAUUACUCAAUAUCCAGAGAUUCUGAAAUUUCAGCUAUCUGUGUAAGUGAAUAAAAUUUUGGAUUGUCUCCUUUGGAGAACAAGUGAGUAGAUACCACCUGUGGAAAGAAGGCACACGUAAAUAUGUAUAAAGGGAAAGAUGGUUUGGGAAGAAAUUACUGGCUACUCAACAGUGUUCUUGUUCUCCACCUCUUGAUCUCAGAGGUAAAGAUUUCUUACCUCUCUUGAUCUUUUUGUGUGGACAUUUCCUGAGUUCUAGCCAAUGAAGUGUGAGCAGAGUUGACCUUUCCAGUCUUGGCCCGUUAAAAACUUCCAUGUUUGCUCCUGUGAGCUCUGUUUGCUUUCUAUUUGGAAGGAAGAACAUUGCCAGGCAGGACUUGGAUUGGCAUAAGGUGAAGAUGACAGUAUGUCUGUUGGCCAUUUGGAGGAAGAUUGCCCUACUGACCUGUUUACCCUUUUGAGCAAAAAAUAACCUUCUAAUAUAUUCGUAGUAUGUCUUAGGGCAAGUAUGACAAAGUAUAAUAGAUAGGUUGGCUUAUAAACACAAUUUAUUUCCUACAGUUCUGGAUCAUAGGGAGAGGGAGAAGCUGGUUUCCAGGCCCCUGGGAUGAUGACCUGAGCUGGAGGCAGACACUUGACUAGCUGAGCAAUACUGGCACCCACUUAGAAUGCCUUUAAAUGUAGGUAUUCUGUUGAGCAGUGUGCUGCUUCUCCAAUUUCUCUUUUUGGGAAGACUGUAAUUGAUUUACUUUGAAUUAUAGCGCCAUUUCUAAAGCAAUAGUUUGCUAUAAUAUAAUUUUGAUGCCACAUGCCUAACCUUGUGGUAUGGACACAUCAGAACUGCAUAGAAUGAAUCCCAUUGAUGAAAUAGAGGCUCAUCUAUCAGAUAAAAGGGAAAAGUAAUUCACACACACACACACACAAAAUGCUGAUUUCUACUAUGAGGACCUAUCUAAAUUUCAUCUGCAGUCAUAGAUGCUCACGUCUAUAUGGAAUCAUAAGGUGAUAAUCUAUGCAUCUCCCCAGCUCUCUGUUCAUCCUCCUUCAAAAUGAAAUGAAAAUAUUUCAGUGGCAUGAUUUUAUUUUUCUUUUGUAGACCUCUUCUAGGCACUAAUUGGGACUGAUUUGAUCUGAUACAUUGUUCAUCUCCUAGUAUUGUCAGAAGUUAUAUGAUAAAUGGAAUUGACUUUGUAUAUGGUAUAAUGUUUUUCCUGUAUAUAAUCAAUUAUUUUCCAGCAUCAUCUGCUGAAUUAGAUAUUGAAGUGUUUUCCUAGUGGUUUGUAAAAGCAUGGCUACAGAUACAAAUAUUCUUAUGUGAAGAUCUGAAUCAUGGCUCCUUAAUCUGUUCAUUGUCCAUCUCUGUCCCAACAUCACACAGUUGGUAUUACUAAAUGUCUUAAUAUUUGACAGGUUGAAGUGCUCUUCCUAAUGCUGCAGCUUUAAUUUGUCUUGGUGAUGCAUUGUCCUUUAUUAUUCCACAUGGAUUUGUAGCAAACUUGUUAGCUGUGAAAAUCAUUUUUCAUAAUAUUUAGUCUCGCCAACUAUGGAUACAUUAUUCAUUUCUUUUUUUUUUAAUAUUAGUAUGCACUUUUAGUAGUAAUAGGUGUAGGAGUAAUAGUAGUAACAAUAGCAACAACCAGUUGAAUGGUAGUUACUAUGUGAUAAAUG